AGGGCGAACGCUGGCGGCGUGCUUAACACAUGCAAGUCGAGCGACGCAUCCUUUCGGGGGUGACGGAGCGGCGAACGGGUGAGUAACACGUGGGCAACCUGCCCUCAGCUCUGGGACAACUCCGGGAAACCGGGGCUAAUACCGGAUACGACAUCGGAUCGCAUGGUCUGGUGUGGAAAGUUUUUCGGCUGGGGAUGGGCCCGCGGCCUAUCAGCUUGUUGGUGGGGUGAAGGCCUACCAAGGCGACGACGGGUA
This 255-nucleotide ribosomal RNA is filed under the name uncultured bacterium. RNAcentral describes it as "partial small subunit ribosomal RNA". It matches the Rfam family "Bacterial small subunit ribosomal RNA", at positions 26 to 285 of the family's 1533-position model. The record is from RNAcentral.